This is a non-coding RNA of Pteropus alecto (black flying fox), 119 nucleotides long. Lineage: Eukaryota; Metazoa; Chordata; Mammalia; Chiroptera; Pteropodidae. The record is from Rfam.
GUCUACGGCCGUGUCACCCUGAACAAGACCGAUCCUGUCUGAUCUAGGAAGCUAAGCGGGGUCGGGCCUGGUUAGUACUUGGAUGGGAGACCACCUAGGAAGACCAGGUGCUGUAGGUG